UCUCCGUGGGUGAACCAGCGGAGGGAUCAUUACCGAGUUUUUCUACUCCCAAACCCGUGUUAACUUAUACCUUUACUGUUGCUUCGUCGGGUUAAUGCCCCGGAAGUCUCAAAAAGCCGCCGUAACCAGGCGCCCGACGGGGAACCUAAACUCUUGUAUUUCUUACUUUGCAUGUCUGAGUGGAAUCAUAAACAAAUGAAUCAAAACUUUCAACAACGGAUCUCUUGGUUCUG
RNAcentral lists this unclassified non-coding RNA (233 nucleotides) under plant metagenome. RNAcentral's name for it is "partial contains small subunit ribosomal RNA, internal transcribed spacer 1, and 5.8S ribosomal RNA". The record is from RNAcentral.